CAUAAGCUUUCGUAGUGACCUGCGGAGGUCAUUACCAAUAUCUGGGAUGAAAAGACACAAGCUCCCGAUAAAGCACAUUCGUGCUUAUCCUCCCAUGUUGCUUCCCCAGGCCAGUGGCCAUUGCUGCCAGCCAGGCCCUUAUUCGGUGACUUGGUUGAGGCGCCUGGGGAAGGGCCAAUCAUCAAACUUUACAUUAACUUACUGUCUGAGAAGGCCAUGUGCCGUAAUCUUUAAACAUGUUAAAACUUUCAACAACGGAUCUCUUGGCUCUCGCAUCGAUGAAUAACGCACCGAAAUGCGAUAAUGAAUGUGAAUUGCAGAAUUCAGUGAAUCAUCAAAUCUUUGAACGCACAUUGCGCCCUUUGGUAUUCCUUAGGGCAUGCCUGUUCGAGCGUCACUAAAACCCAGAUCACCUAGAGUGUGGUAUUGGCAGAAGUGGGUAGGGCUAUCAGGGCCCACUCCCACCCUGCUGGAAUGAAUAGGCUGGAAAAGUAAAUCAUAGCAACAGACUUUCAGAGUAUUUUGAGAUGCUAAAUUAGUUUGAAGCUGGAUUGAAACCCAGGCCAUUUGACCCCCAUCCUGUGUAAAGCAGUAAGGUUGACCUCGGAUCAGGUAGGGAUACCCGCUGAACUUAAGCAUAUCAAU
This 645-nucleotide ribosomal RNA is filed under the name Tuber hubeiense. RNAcentral's name for it is "eukaryotic LSU rRNA". The stretch from base 244 to 397 matches the Rfam family "5.8S ribosomal RNA". The record is from RNAcentral. Lineage: Eukaryota; Fungi; Ascomycota; Pezizomycetes; Pezizales; Tuberaceae.